RNAcentral lists this long non-coding RNA (506 nucleotides) under Ananas comosus (pineapple). RNAcentral's name for it is "long non-coding RNA (ACOM_LNC019427)". The record is from RNAcentral. Lineage: Eukaryota; Viridiplantae; Streptophyta; Magnoliopsida; Poales; Bromeliaceae.
AAAUUUGAAAAUAUUUAAUUUACGUUUACUUUUUUUUUUUUUCUAAUACACUUAUCAUAUGUUCCUCCGUUAUUUAAAAGUACCUCCGCAAUUACCACCCGUUAAGUUAUUUGGAGUUAAAGAUGAGUUAAGUGUCUAGCAGAGUUAAAAAAAAUUAAAAUAUUUUUUUUGUCUUUAACUUAAAAGUAAAUAAGAAAAGCUUGUGAUAAUAAUAGAAAAGUACGUAUAUUUGAAAAGACAAAAAAUCAAAUACCUCUUUUGCCCCUAAUUUAAGGGCAAAGAAGAAAAGUUAGUGAUAGUAAAAUAAUAUAUUGAAAACGAUAAAAUAGUAAUUUUAUAGAUAUAACGAUUAUUGUUAACCGUUUAUUAACGGGAUUUAACUCUAAUAGGAGCAUUUGAAAUAACUUGAAAUGUAAAAAAAAAAUAUUUUUAAUAUUAGCCUUUUAAGAAAAAUAAAUUAGAAAAUCAAGAACUUUCUGGAGUGAACAAGCAUAUAUAUUAUUCUU